UGGGGAAUUUUGGACAAUGGGCGCAAGCCUGAUCCAGCAAUGCCGCGUGCAGGAAGAAGGCCUUCGGGUUGUAAACUGCUUUUGUACGGAACGAAACGGUUCUGGUUAAUACCCGGGGCUAAUGACGGUACCGUAAGAAUAAGCACCGGCUAACUACGUGCCAGCAGCCGCGGUAAUACGUAGGGUGCAAGCGUUAAUCGGAAUUACUGGGCGUAAAGCGUGCGCAGGCGGUUGUGUAAGACAGGCGUGAAAUCCCCGGGCUCAACCUGGGAAUUGCGCUUGUGACUGCACGGCUGGAGUGCGGCAGAGGGGGAUGGAAUUCCGCGUGUAGCAGUGAAAUGCGUAGAUAUGCGGAGGAACACCGAUGGCGAAGGCAAUCCCCUGGGCCUGCACUGACGCUCAUGCACGAAAGCGUGGGGAGCAAACAG
Molecule: ribosomal RNA, 428 nt
Filed under: uncultured bacterium
Lineage: Bacteria
Description: bacterial SSU rRNA
Rfam family: Bacterial small subunit ribosomal RNA
Source: RNAcentral